RNAcentral lists this ribosomal RNA (553 nucleotides) under uncultured euryarchaeote. RNAcentral's name for it is "bacterial SSU rRNA". It matches the Rfam family "Archaeal small subunit ribosomal RNA", at positions 325 to 879 of the family's 1478-position model. The record is from RNAcentral. Lineage: Archaea; Methanobacteriati; Methanobacteriota.
AUGGGGUGCACCAGGGGCGAAACCUUCACAAUGUGCGAAAGCACGAUGAGGGAAUCCCAAGUGCUUGCUCGUAAGAGUAAGCUGUUUUUAUGUCUAAAAAGCAUAGAGAGUAAGGGCUGGGUAAGACGGGUGCCAGCCGCCGCGGUAAUACCUGCAGCUCAAGUGGUGACCGCUAUUAUUGGGCCUAAAACGUUCGUAGCCGGUUUGGUAAAUGCCUGGGUAAAUCGUGUAGCUUAACUAUACGAAUUCCGGGUAGACUGCCAAACUUGAAACCGGGAGAAGCUAGAGGUACUCCUAGGGUAGAGGUGAAAUUCUGUAAUCCUGGGGGGACCACCAGUGGCGAAGGCGUCCGACUAGAACGGGUCUGACGGUGAGGGACGAAGCCCUGGGGCGCAAACCGGAUUAGAUACCCGGGUAGUCCAGGGUGUAAACGCUGCUUGCUUGAUGUUGGUUGGGCUCCGAGCCCAAUCAGUGUCGGAGAGAAGUUGUUAAGCAAGCUGCCUGGGAAGUACGGCCGCAAGACUGAAACUUAAAGGAAUUGGCGGGGGAGCAC